AGCGAGGCUAGAGUCACGCCUCGACAUUGCUCGUUGUCCAGGUGUGCUAGAGUGCUCGCAGAGGAAAAGUCUUUGCAUAUUCAUUGGCUGUCUUCUCCAGUGGCUCAGCCAAUCACCAGCUUAGAUACAUGA
Small nucleolar RNA from Syngnathus acus (greater pipefish), 132 nucleotides. RefSeq annotates it as small nucleolar RNA SNORA3/SNORA45 family. Lineage: Eukaryota; Metazoa; Chordata; Actinopteri; Syngnathiformes; Syngnathidae. The transcript has a single exon. The record is from RefSeq and is a predicted model, not a curated record.